GAGGGUAUAGCUCAAGUGAUAGAGCACAUGCAUAGCAUGCAUGAAGUCCUGGGUUCAAUCCCCAUUACCUCCA
Molecule: transfer RNA, 73 nt
Filed under: Camelus bactrianus (Bactrian camel)
Lineage: Eukaryota; Metazoa; Chordata; Mammalia; Artiodactyla; Camelidae
Also listed under: 1 other name
Rfam family: tRNA
About the family: Transfer RNA (tRNA) molecules are approximately 80 nucleotides in length. Their secondary structure includes four short double-helical elements and three loops (D, anti-codon, and T loops). Further hydrogen bonds mediate the characteristic L-shaped molecular structure. tRNAs have two regions of fundamental functional importance: the anti-codon, which is responsible for specific mRNA codon recognition, and the 3' end, to which the tRNAs corresponding amino acid is attached (by aminoacyl-tRNA synthetases). tRNAs cope with the degeneracy of the genetic code in two manners: having more than one tRNA (with a specific anti-codon) for a particular amino acid; and 'wobble' base-pairing, i.e. permitting non-standard base-pairing at the 3rd anti-codon position.
Source: Rfam by way of RNAcentral